GCAGAUAAGCAUGCAGAAAUCUUAUGAAAUAUAGAUUCAUGGAUAGCACAAUAUAGAAAGUUCAUAGCAUUAGCAUUCAAUUGUGCUAAGUCUUUUUUAUUGAUAUUUUGAGAGAGUGUGUGAGGUCCAUUUAUAAUGAUAUUCCACAUUUUAUAGUUUUGUGAUUGAACAAAAAUUUUCAUUCUAGCUUUUCAUUGAAUAUAGUAAGUUCCAUCAAACAGUGGAGGUCUGUUUAUGAAAAGUCCCUCGGCAAAUAAUAUGUUAUGUGGGGUUGUCAUAAUCUUUAGCUCUAGUCGGUUAAGACUAUAAUUAAUAGAAGAGCACCUGCUCUGAUACCACUUGUUGCCCAAGGUGACAACCCAAGA
RNAcentral lists this long non-coding RNA (365 nucleotides) under Phoenix dactylifera (date palm). RNAcentral describes it as "long non-coding RNA (PDAC_LNC013640)". Lineage: Eukaryota; Viridiplantae; Streptophyta; Magnoliopsida; Arecales; Arecaceae. The record is from RNAcentral.